ACAUUAUUAGUUUGGCGCCGAGGCUGGCUUUGCUAGUAGCAUUAACUGCUUGAGAACCCACAUGCACACCGAAAGUAUUCCAAGUACAAAUAAGAGCAACCGGCUGCCUAUAGAGCAAGCCGUCCAAAGUACACCCAUCGCCCCAUGACCACCCAAGAAGGUCGGGCCUUCCUUAAUUACUGCAACCAUUUGACAUUCAAGAAGAAGGCUAUCAUAGCAUGGGAAUUCAG
Molecule: long non-coding RNA, 230 nt
Filed under: Ananas comosus (pineapple)
Lineage: Eukaryota; Viridiplantae; Streptophyta; Magnoliopsida; Poales; Bromeliaceae
Description: long non-coding RNA (ACOM_LNC029239)
Source: RNAcentral